GUGUGAAGUUCUGCAAGAGGUUUCCCAGAACCUCCAAGUGUAAGGCAAGAGGAAAAAUCGUCAACAAAUCAGGCCACACUGUUCUGGUCCUGAUGUCGCGAGGCAAAGACUUCAUUCUGCAAAGGCUCAAGGGGAGACAGGAGGAGGCUGGUUACCGAGGUUGGAAAGCACCUAACUCCAAGAGCAAGGCCAGUAUUAACCCCUCUGCUGGGACUGCUGACCUGAGAUAACUCUAGCUAGAGACUCCAGAAAGCCAGAGAGCACGCCUGGAAAUGCAGCCUAUGAGUGCCUCACCUACAUUCCUCCUAGGAUCUUCCCAGGUCCCAUCCUGCUCCAGCCCCUGACUAUCAGUGACCUCCCAACCCCCUGCCCAGGGGAGAGGGGAAUUGGUCCCCAUCUUUCCAGUUAGAUGAAAAGUCCCUGCAAGGGGAAACAAAAUAAAGGUGAUUCCAAAUCACA
This is a long non-coding RNA of Galeopterus variegatus (Sunda flying lemur), 459 nucleotides long. RefSeq lists it as uncharacterized. The transcript has 2 exons. The record is from RefSeq and is a predicted model, not a curated record. Lineage: Eukaryota; Metazoa; Chordata; Mammalia; Dermoptera; Cynocephalidae.